RNAcentral lists this long non-coding RNA (474 nucleotides) under Populus trichocarpa (black cottonwood). RNAcentral describes it as "long non-coding RNA (PTRI_LNC001363)". The record is from RNAcentral. Lineage: Eukaryota; Viridiplantae; Streptophyta; Magnoliopsida; Malpighiales; Salicaceae.
AAAACAGGGGAGAAAUCUGUUGAAGCUAUUGAGAAAACACAGGAUUCAUCGGAAGUUCAUCCUAUUAAAGAAUCAGAAGCAGUUGCAGUAAAAGAUAUCAAUGAUUCAGUAGCAGUGCCUGAAGUUGAUAAACCAGAAUCAGCAGUUCCUGAAGUUGAGGUUAAACAAGAAAAGCAAUCUGAAGUAAUUGAACAAGUGGAAAAACCAGAAUCAGCGGUUCCUCAGGUUGAGGUGAAAUUGGUGGAACAACCUGAAGUAACUGAACAAGUUGAAAAACCAGAAUCAUUGGGUCCUGAGGUUGAGGUGAAACCAGAAGAACAACCUGAAGUCACUACACAUACGGAAAAACAAAAGAAACAUGAAGUAGAGUUGAAAACUGAGGCACGAUCUGAAGUUAGUGAACAGGUUGAGAUUAAGCCAACUAAUGAAAAGCCAGAGGAAGUAGCUGGAAUUACUCAGGAGGCUGAAGUUGAU